GGAUGUGAGGGUGAUCUGGCUGUGACAUCUGUCACCUCUUUGAUCACCAGGGUUGGUUCAGCUAAUCUGGCUGGCUAGGUAGGUGUCCUCUUCCUGCCUCACUGGCCCAUGUAUGUCAAUCCUAAGACAAGGAAGACUGGUUUCAGGCAAGGGUGUACAAAUAGCUGUGCUUCCCUACUAGAAUCUCCCAAAAAGCUCAAAACACUUGUGAAAAGAGGAAGUAGCAUCAUUUUAAAUUUUUAAAAAUUAUUUUAGAUU
This 258-nucleotide small nuclear RNA is filed under the name Chinchilla lanigera (long-tailed chinchilla). RNAcentral's name for it is "7SK RNA (ENSCLAG00000021590.1)". It matches the Rfam family "7SK RNA". Rfam says of the family: 7SK was discovered as an abundant small nuclear RNA in the mid-70s but a possible function has only recently been suggested. Two independent studies have found that 7SK RNA binds the CDK9/cyclin T complex (known as elongation factor P-TEFb). Lineage: Eukaryota; Metazoa; Chordata; Mammalia; Rodentia; Chinchillidae. The record is from RNAcentral.